CAUUUUCAAAUUUGAUCCAAUUUGUUAUUCAUAGGAACUCGUGAGUUAUGACAAAAAGAUAUUAUGACUCCCAUGCAGCGGAUGAAGACAUUGAUGCCCAUGAAAGGUAAUUCAGUUCCAACCCCUUCAGUGACAGCAGAGAGACCCAGGCCACCUUCCUUGAGGAUUUCGGAGCUGCAGCCCACAGCCAGGGCCAGAGUGGACUCAGCUCUCCAACCCACGGUGAUAUUACAAUUCUUGUUGUGUUCCUAGCUGUGGGCUUGUUCACCUCGGGAUGGCAAGGGCGUGGCACAAACACCCCCACAUUUCCAUUCUGUGUUACGAAGUCCGCGUAACUUUUCAAUGUGUG
Molecule: long non-coding RNA, 349 nt
Filed under: Homo sapiens (human)
Lineage: Eukaryota; Metazoa; Chordata; Mammalia; Primates; Hominidae
Description: non-protein coding lnc-CSMD1-1:7
Source: RNAcentral